Long non-coding RNA from Lytechinus pictus (painted urchin), 3082 nucleotides. RefSeq lists it as uncharacterized. The record is from RefSeq and is a predicted model, not a curated record. Lineage: Eukaryota; Metazoa; Echinodermata; Echinoidea; Temnopleuroida; Toxopneustidae. The transcript is spliced from 2 exons.
CAUAGCAGUCUAUUGGAAACAAAGAACUAUAUUUUUAUGUGUGUGUUUAUGUACUUCUGAAUGAGCAAGUUUGAAUACUUUGUUAAUGAAAUGGAAAUAAUAAUGAAAUACUUUAUGAAUGUGAUUCAGAUGGAGUUCAGCUUCAUGAAGCCAUGGGAAAAUUAAGCAACAUAAUUUGAAUGGACCUUUCAUUCAUGUGCCUUUUCAUUGGAAUCAAGAAUGUACAAUGCAACCCUAAGGAUGUAAAUUGUACAAUGUGUAUCAAACAAGUCCCUACUUUAAGAUAAUCCAAUAAAGUGAUAUAUUUGUAAUAUCCUGAAGCUUUUCCAUUUUUAUACAUUUUUACAGGCCUGACUGUCAGUGAAUAUUUCCACUUGAGUGCCCACCACUUACUUUAAAAAGUUAAAAGAACGAUUUGGGCAAAACUUGUAAAAGUUAUGUGGAUAAAAUUUGAAGAGCACAUGAAAUUUAGCUAAGAAGAUUGAUUGGAAGAUAUUCUCUACCUUAUAACUUGUUUCCUUGCACAAAAGACUCCCUGGAGCGCCAAUGCACUCCCCUCCACACACCUAUCUGCUUUACAUGUAGCGUUGAUUCAUAUAAAAUGGCUAAGGCUUGAUUUCUCUUUUGUUAUUCAUUGUCAUGGUUGGGAAAAGUGAGGUGAUUCAAGUAUGAAAUGAAUUAUGAAAUGUAAAGCCCCUUUAACUGACAAAACUUAAUGAAAAAAAUCCUGGUGAUGUCUGGUGUUAACAUUAAUUUGUUUCAUGUUAUGUCAUCAGAUCUAGCUGGCACAAUAAAAAAAAAGGCAAGUUACCGUUAAACGGUUGUGCUUACCAUGGGUUAAAAUGUUAAUUUGGGUAGCAGAGUUGUUUCAAAAUUUUUAAUCUGUUUUAUUUCCACUGACUAAAAAAGCCAAAGAAAAGUAUUAGAAAAGAAUGAGUACUAUACUUUAUGUUUAGUAUACCUUUUGAUGAAGCAAUUGAACAUUUAUGUGUGUUGAGGUACAUACAUGUGUAUUACAGUGAUCAUAUGCUAAUUAUCAGAUGCAGGUAGGUGUUUCAUAAAGCUGUUUGUAAGAUACGAGUGACUUUACGAACAACUCACUUAAUUACCCUUUCGUAGGCGCUGAAUUAACUUCAAUGAAAAUUUUGUGUAUAUCACUUAUCACAAAAAAAAUAAUCACCAGUCGUUCAUAAAAUUGCUCGUAACGUACAAACAGCUUUAUGAAACACCCACCUGGAAUGUUUCCAUAAAUCUAUGUGAACGUGUAGUCAUGUACUACAAUCCCUUUAUUUCUUGGCAAUAUUGUUAAAGAGUGAAAUUAAUCAAUUUGAUAUAUAUAAACCCAUUUUGUUUCGAACAAUCAAAUUGUCAUGGUAAUGAUGUGGUAAUGGUUUAAGAUUCAUUUGAAGCUACAGAGUGUAUUGUAUAAUCUUGCACUUGACAAGAAAAUGAUCAUUAAAGGACAAGUCCACCCCAACAAACAAUUGAUUUGAAUAAAAAGAGAAAAAUUCAACAAGCAUAACACUGAAAAUUUCAUCAAAAUCGGAUGUAAAAUAAGAAAGUUAUGACAUUUUAAAUUUUCGCUUCAUUUCACAAAACAGUUAUAUGCACAUCUCGGUCGGUAUGCAAAUGAGGGAGCUGAUGACAUCACUCACUCACUAUUUCUUUUGUAUUCUAUUAUAUGAAAUAUGAAAUAUUUUGAUUUUCUCGUCAUUGUCAUGUGAAAUGAAGUUUCAUUCCUCACUGAACACGUGGAAUUCCAUUAUUUUAACAUUUUGUGCUUCAGGCAAGGAGGUCCUAAUCGUCAAAUUCGUAAAAAUUGAAAUAUUGUAUCAUUCAAACAAUAAAAAACAAAAGAAAUAGUGAGUGAGUGACAUCAUAGACUCUCUCAUUUAGAUGUAACUGGCUCGUUCAUAUAACUAUUUUGUUAAAAAUAAGCGAAACUUUGAAAUGUCAUAACUUUCUUAUUUUACAUCCGAUUUUGAUGAAAUUUUUAGCAUUGUGCUUGUCUGAUUUUGCUCUAUUGAUUCAAAUCAACAUUUUUCUGAGGUGGACUUGACCUUUAAACACAGAUAAACAACCCAAAACAUAAACAGCCAUACCAUGAGCUAAAUAUAGUUUAAAGCAUAGAGAGGGGUGGAUAGAGAGAGAAAGAGGGAGGGAGAAAGCAAUUGUAGACUUGUUACAAAAGUAAAAAUUCAACUUACAUGCAUGUGUCAGAGAAAAAUAAGUAUAUAUAAAUAUACAGGUGCAAUGACUGACUAUUGUAUUGAUGUCAACUAGGAAAUGUUCUCUGAAUCAGUUUGUUUACUCCAGUUAUAGGAUUUACUUACUGAUGAUGAUAUUUCUUAAGGGUCUAAGGUGAUGAUGAUGCUCAAUGAUGCUAAUGGUAAAGUUUAGAUUUAAAGUCAAGAAUCUGCAGUCAUUAUGAGGACAACUGCAUUUACUUUUGUGUGUUGUUUGUAUUUUCAAUGUUUAGUAUACUAUUCUAAUGAGCACUCAAGGGAGGUAUGAGUUGAAAUUUUGAAUAGAUUCAGCGGAAUUGAUUUAUUAUGCAAAUUAUUUCCAUGAUCCCAGAGAUCUGAUGUGUUGCAUAUAAUUAUACUGGUUAAAAGUUGAACACCUAAUCUAUCAAAAGUAUUUAAGUGCUCUACAAUAUGUUGAAUAAUAAUGAUAUAAUUGUUUAUGAUUAUAUAGCACUUAACAUUUACAUGUUAUCAGAAGUCAUACUGCUAGGCUUGGCAGAACAGCUGUGGUCAACCAAAAUGUUUUUAGAAUUCUGAUAACCAAAAUUGAUGUAAAAAGUCAUUGCAGACGGAUAAAGAUUAGCAAAUGGUUAGGAUGUAGACCUUGUAAAUGCAUGUCUGAUAUUCCUACCUGUCCUAUAUUGUGUGUCACAGUAUUGUAUUUAAUCAUUUAUUUUUUUCUAUUUCUAUUUUCGUUCAUUUGAUUUUAUUGUAAAUCUGAAUUUUGUAAGCUACCUAAAUAAAAUGUAGGUGAUUUCCUCACUUUCACUUACAUCCUUCAAAUCAAUGAUGAUGAUGAUAAUAAUCAUUUGAAUAAAUUAUUAAAUUAAUAUCAA